Long non-coding RNA from Tachysurus fulvidraco (yellow catfish), 1393 nucleotides. RefSeq lists it as uncharacterized. The transcript is spliced from 5 exons. The record is from RefSeq and is a predicted model, not a curated record. Lineage: Eukaryota; Metazoa; Chordata; Actinopteri; Siluriformes; Bagridae.
CUGUGCCUUUAGGAGAGUUCUGCUGAUGUAUGCACUUAGACAGCUGAGUGCGCAUGCGCCAGACAGAGCUAGCGCGAAGUUGAAUGUAUUCAGACGUGUUGUUAUUCUGCCUUCUUAGUUGAGCAAACCAACGUUUUUCUUUUGUUUUGUGACGGGAACCGAGUGUUUUGUUUCUCCUUCGUUUUUACUCCGUUUAUAUGUGUGUAUGCUGGAUGUGAUUGCUGAAGAGGAUCAAAUACAAAGGCUUUUUUGGGAUAACUUGCUGUGUGCCUCGAGUGUUUAUUCCCUUUUUAAGUCACCUUGUUUUUCUCCGGGUCAAACCUAACACUCCGACCACGUUACAAUAUGUAUGACUUUAUUCCUAAAUGUGUUAGGAGAAGAACUUAAAACUCACCCUCCCUCAGAAUGAACGUUCGCCAAUGAUGUUAUCUACAACAUCACGCGCGCACACACACACACACACACACACACACACACACACACACACACACACACACACACACACACACACACACACACACACACACACACACACACCCCUGAGCGGACACGUACCCCCACAUGUAGGUAAAAAAAAAAAGGAGAAUUUCCGAAAAUUUGGUUAUGUCUUCAAGUCUUUGGAAAUCCAACAUCAGAACAGAACUUCUAUAUCUCCUUCUAAACAUUAAGAGAGCAUUGCAUUUUUAUCAGAACAAGACCAGCAUAUCUGACACGAUUGUCUAUGAAAACGUAUCAAACAAAACGAGGUCCUCCAGGACAGUUGUAUUGAGAUUAUUUACGACAGCAAGUAUCCCGGAAUGUACAUGCGAACCUAAGAACGGUGGAACAUCAUGGAUCAGAUGUUUUGUGUGAUUGUAUAGCUCACUAUUUGAAGACGGUUCACUCUGAAAGUCAAACACUUGAUAAAAAAAGAAAUAACAACCUCCAAGAUCCAAAUCAAUCAGCACAUUCAGAGACUUUGACCAAUAAAUAUAUCAAUACUUCACUUGGAGGCUGUGGUGGGACCACAUUGAACCCAUGAAGAUCGUUUUGGACUGCAAUUAAAUUUCAAUAAAAAAAUAAAAUGACUUCCCUAGUUACACAGUUGCACUUUUUUGCACCAUAUAGCCACAUGACUCACCAUCAUUAUUACCUCACCAUCUCUUCCAACGAAUGCUGUAUGCUGACAACAGUGCCACCUGCUGACCACAAAUAGGUACUGUUUGUCCAAUAAAAAUGCGUAUAACGGAAAGAACGUGUAAAAUACGCACUAAAUGGAUUUAUUCUGCUGGAAAUUCUUGUACUUUAUUAGUGGAGUAAAAUGCUUUCAGUCUUCAGAAGUCCAGAGGCUUUUGACAGUCCAUGAGGGGUCUUGUGUCACCCAGAUGAGGAUGGGUUCCCUUUUGACUCAUUA